This 805-nucleotide ribosomal RNA is filed under the name uncultured bacterium. RNAcentral's name for it is "bacterial SSU rRNA". It matches the Rfam family "Bacterial small subunit ribosomal RNA", at positions 90 to 873 of the family's 1533-position model. The record is from RNAcentral.
AGUGAGUGGCGAACUGGUGAGUAACACGCGGGAAACCUGCCCAGAAGCGGGGGAUAACACCUGGAAACAGAUGCUAAUACCGCAUAACAACUUGGACCGCAUGGUCCGAGCUUGAAAGAUGGCUUCGGCUAUCACUUUUGGAUGGUCCCGCGGCGUAUUAGCUAGAUGGUGGGGUAACGGCUCACCAUGGCAAUGAUACGUAGCCGACCUGAGAGGGUAAUCGGCCACAUUGGGACUGAGACACGGCCCAAACUCCUACGGGAGGCAGCAGUAGGGAAUCUUCCACAAUGGACGAAAGUCUGAUGGAGCAACGCCGCGUGAGUGAAGAAGGGUUUCGGCUCGUAAAACUCUGUUGUUAAAGAAGAACAUAUCUGAGAGUAACUGUUCAGGUAUUGACGGUAUUUAACCAGAAAGCCACGGCUAACUACGUGCCAGCAGCCGCGGUAAUACGUAGGUGGCAAGCGUUGUCCGGAUUUAUUGGGCGUAAAGCGAGCGCAGGCGGUUUUUUAAGUCUGAUGUGAAAGCCUUCGGCUCAACCGAAGAAGUGCAUCGGAAACUGGGAAACUUGAGUGCAGAAGAGGACAGUGGAACUCCAUGUGUAGCGGUGAAAUGCGUAGAUAUAUGGAAGAACACCAGUGGCGAAGGCGGCUGUCUGGUCUGUAACUGACGCUGAGGCUCGAAAGUAUGGGUAGCAAAACAGGAUUAGAUACCCUGGUAGUCCAUACCGUAAACGAUGAAUGCUAAGUGGUUGGGAGGGGUUUCCGCCCCUUCAGUGCUGCAGCCUAACGCAUUAAGCCAUUCCGCC